This is a long non-coding RNA of Ochotona curzoniae (black-lipped pika), 464 nucleotides long. RefSeq lists it as uncharacterized. The record is from RefSeq and is a predicted model, not a curated record. The transcript is spliced from 4 exons. NCBI's taxonomy places the organism in Eukaryota, Metazoa, Chordata, Mammalia, Lagomorpha, Ochotonidae.
GGUAGGAAGAAGAGGAACAAAGAAGAAGAAAACAGGAAGUUACAAGAAGAAAGGGAAACAUCAAACUCAAAGCAUUUCAACCAUCAUUGUAGUGUGACCUUCACAAGGAGGUAGUUGACAAUGAAGAGAUGCUUACCUUUGCAGCCCUCACAGUUUUUUUUAAGGAGCCACGGAAAGACAAACUAGAACAAAGGAUCACUGACCAGACUUGGAGACAGGCAUCAUCCUUGGCUGCACUCAUAGGACAAAGAAGAAAAGUCCACUAGAAGAACAACACAUAGCAAAUUAUAGCUUGUCUUUAUUGACAACUUACCAAAUAAAUUUUCGGAAAGUGAGAAUUCAUCCACAGCCGGCACAUCAGAAGUCCUGGAUUUAGUCUGACGACUGGAAAUACGUUCCGAAGGAAAAAGAAAUACAAGCUCCAGGAGACCUUCCAUUGGCUCUGCCAUGUCCAGCACACUUCC